RNAcentral lists this non-coding RNA (24 nucleotides) under Arabidopsis thaliana (thale cress). The record is from RNAcentral. Lineage: Eukaryota; Viridiplantae; Streptophyta; Magnoliopsida; Brassicales; Brassicaceae.
AGCCAUCUUUCAUUAUUCCAAGAG